Molecule: long non-coding RNA, 325 nt
Organism: Neltuma alba
Lineage: Eukaryota; Viridiplantae; Streptophyta; Magnoliopsida; Fabales; Fabaceae
Exons: 3
Source: RefSeq, a predicted model, not a curated record
CAAUCUGCAAAGGGCACUUAUAAGUUCAUGUUAGCGACUUACUGCUAAUCAUAACAGUAAGUCGCUAACCACAAUUAAAUAGACUAAGGCGACUCUCUAAUGUGGUAAUGACACAUUACAUAACAAUUAGGACGGCUUAGCUCCAUCAGUUCAAAAUUUCCAGUUCUUGUCUCAAUUACUUUUAACCCCUUCUAGCCAUAAAGGAAGGAAUAAUGACCACAGAAAAAAACGGAGGGGGGCUUUUGCAAAAAAGUCUAGUGAUCUGAGGGAGGAACGAAUGGCUUCAAUAAGGAACUCUAUACUUGUACCUGUCUCUUUCAAUUCA